UCCUACGGGAGGCAGCAGUGAGGAAUAUUGGUCAAUGGCCGGAAGGCUGAACCAGCCAAGCCGCGUGAGGGAGGAAGGCGCAGAGCGUCGCAGACCUCUUUUGCCGGGGGACAAAAGGCCGGACUCGUCCGGUCCUGAGGGUACCCGGAGAAAAAGCAUCGGCUAACUCCGUGCCAGCAGCCGCGGUAAUACGGAGGAUGCGAGCGUUAUCCGGAUUUAUUGGGUUUAAAGGGUGCGCAGGCGGACCAUCAAGUCAGCGGUAAAAUCGUGGGGCCCAACCCCAUCCCGCCGUUGAAACUGGCGGG
Molecule: ribosomal RNA, 305 nt
Filed under: uncultured bacterium
Lineage: Bacteria
Description: bacterial SSU rRNA
Rfam family: Bacterial small subunit ribosomal RNA
Source: RNAcentral